RNAcentral lists this long non-coding RNA (2041 nucleotides) under Nicotiana benthamiana. RNAcentral's name for it is "long non-coding RNA (NBEN_LNC027644)". Lineage: Eukaryota; Viridiplantae; Streptophyta; Magnoliopsida; Solanales; Solanaceae. The record is from RNAcentral.
CCGACCAAACCACAAUCAAGAAUGGCAAUCCAGCCAAAAAGAAGCAAUUUAAGAUAACUCAGCUGAGCAAGAACAAUAAUCCUCCCUAAAACCGAGGAGUCACGAGUACAUAGCCUCUAACAAAACAAGAUACAAGUCUGAACGGGAAUGAUACAAAGUCUGGCAAAAUAGCAAAAAGAAACAUGGCUGAUAGAAACAGAGUAAGUGGUCCUGCGGACACUGAGCAGCUACCUCAAUACUCGGAAUAGCUCCGGAAAUCAACAUCUGCAACACUGGGUCUCUGGAGCACCUAGAUCUGCACACAAGGUGCAGGGAGUAUAGGGUGAGUCUACCAACUCAGCGAGUAAUAAGCAUGUAUAAAUACCCGAAGAUAAGAAGACACGAAAUAACAUAAAACGAAGCUAUCAAGCAGUUCUAUACAAUACCAGUCUCAUAGAUAUACAGAAAAAACAAUAGUAAAUAAAUGUAUGAGAUGCAAUGCAAUGCAUGAACACUGCAAAAAUUACGAAAUAAAACAAAAUGAAGCUAUCUUGCAGUUCUAUAUAGUACAAGCCUCAGAGAUAUGCAAAUAAAGCAAUAGUAAAUAGAUGCAUGAUAUGCAAUGCAAUGCAUGAACACUGCGCAGCCUGAUUCAUAUGGGUACCCGCGCUCACUGUGGGGGUUUAGACUCCGGAGGGGCUCCUACAGCCCAAACGCCAUAUCACACAGUGCGAAUAGUUACCACUAUUUCCAUCACAAUACACGGUGUCCUUAGUUAUCACCAUUUCCAUUACAAUACAUGGUGUCCUUAGUUACCACCGUUUCCAUUUAAAAUACACAGUGUCCUUAGAUACCACCAUUUCUAUUUAAAAUACACGUUGUCCUUUGUUACUACCGUUUUCAUUUAAAAUACACGGUGUCCUUAGUUACCACCGUUUCCAUUUAAAAUACACGAUGUCCUUAGUUACUACUGUUUCCAUUUAAAAUACAUGGUGUCCUUAGUUACCACCGUUUCUAUUUUAAAAUAAUAUACAUUCCAAAAAUAGCGAGAUAGCACUCGUCAACCCGAAAUAUCAUUUAAAAUCAUUUGAGUUCUCAAAACGUAUAAAUAAGUUUGAGUUUGCAAAAAUAGUAUUUAAACCUGGACUGGUAUCAAAUAAUAUGCAAAUCAUGAAAAUUCUAAGAUAACGAUCCCUGAAGGAUUCUACAAGUUGGCACAAGGCCCCAAGCAUGGUAUCAAGCCCAAAUAUCAUCAAUAUAGUAUGCAAAGCAAUCGCCAACAUAGUACAAUACAACUCUCGGAUUUGGACCGAGUCAUAAUUUACAACAUAUACGACCCCGCACUAGCCAUGGAGUGCGUGUCCAGCCUCAUAAUAGUGUCAAAAUAUGAUAUACCGGGGUUUCAAACCCCCAGGUCAUCUUCUACACCCAUUACUCACCUCAAGCCAGCCGCAAACUAGCUCGGAAUGCUUUUCCCUCGAGAAUCAACCUCCGCGGAUGCCAAAUCUGAUAAAAACCAAUAGGAAUACGUCAANNNNNNNNNNNNNNNNNNNNNNNNNNNNNNNNNNNNNNNNNNNNNNNNNNNNNNNNNNNNNNNNNNNNNNNNNNNNNNNNNNNNNNNNNNNNNNNNNNNAAUAGGAAUACGUCAAAAUAGGCUAAUGGAACAUAACCCAAUCAAAAUAACUCGAAAUACACCCAAAAAUAUGAAGUUGGCAAAACCCGAGCCCACUUCUCGAAAAAUUACAAAAUUCACAUUCCCAGAAUCCUCGUCUCGCCACGAAUUCAUUCAUAUAAAAUUUACAAGAAUCGGAGUCCAUUUGACCCCUCAAAUCCACACUUAAAUUUCACUUGGGUUUCAAGCCUUAACCAACAUUUUUAACAUUGAAAACCUUGAUUCCUUAGUUUUAAUCCAUGAUUUUACUCUAUAUUAUUGUACUUUAGGUCCAAGAGAUCAUACCUGAAGAAUCCCCUCGAACAUCUCUCCAAAAAUCGCCCUCAAUCGCCUAAGUCCGAAGUUCAAUUGUUGUUCCUGUUUUUAAAAUUAUAUGAAACACAGAUGCAC